Long non-coding RNA from Erinaceus europaeus (western European hedgehog), 810 nucleotides. RefSeq lists it as uncharacterized. The record is from RefSeq and is a predicted model, not a curated record. NCBI's taxonomy places the organism in Eukaryota, Metazoa, Chordata, Mammalia, Eulipotyphla, Erinaceidae. The transcript has 4 exons.
CUCAAGUGAGAGACCAUGAAAAGUAGUGGGCUUUCUAGUGCCUUCCAAGAGAGCCUCCUCUUCUUCUAGAGGUAAGGCAAGCGCUGAAACACCCACAUCAACAGUGUGUGACUGCACCAGCCCUGCCCUCUCUCCCCCCGCAGGCUCCUUCUCCAGUUCACUGUCUAAAAUCCCCCUCCCGCCUUGUUAGACAGUCACAUUCUCCUAGGACCUUCUCAGUCGUCUGUCAUGUAAGCCUGUAUUUACUCCUUCCCGCCUCUCCUAGGGCUUGUGCAUGAAUCUCGGAUUCAUGACCUGACUUGCUGGUGUCUUUCGGUAGCUCAUCUUUUAGCCUUAGUGUUGUCAGCCAUGAAGAAGCCCAUCAUAUGGGCUCCGUCUCUAGGCCACUCGGUCUUGCAGAAGUGUGACUUGUGCUGUGGAGUAAGCGAGAAGUAUGCUCACAACUACCAGUGCCAAGGAAGAAUGUAUUUUGCCUGAAGGAUCCACAGGAAGAUCUGUGGCAGGGGCCGAGUAACCACACAUUACCAAAGGCCCCGGCUCAAGUCUCCAGUCCCCACCCGAAGGAAGAAGCCUCAAGAAUGGUGGAGCAGUGUGGCAGCUGACUCACCGUCCUUCAACAUCUCUCUGACAUCCUCCAGAAAAAAGAGAAAAGAUUGCUCGGAGUGGCGGAGUCAUGCAGACAACAGCCCUGGUGAAACAAAGCACAGCAAAGUAAAACAGGAGACCGGGGAGGUAGGACUUCCACGUGAGGGAGGACCCUGCAGCACAGACACUGGCAUGAUGGUCUGUUUCUCUCUCUCACUUACCUUC